RNAcentral lists this long non-coding RNA (4561 nucleotides) under Ornithorhynchus anatinus (platypus). RNAcentral describes it as "lncRNA (ENSOANG00000039702.1)". The record is from RNAcentral. Lineage: Eukaryota; Metazoa; Chordata; Mammalia; Monotremata; Ornithorhynchidae.
GGAGCAGGCUCAAAGAGUGAAUGAGACCGAGUGAAGCAUUUUAAGGUACUGUGUACAGUACGGAAUCCAGGUGCGCGGGGGAGGGGUAGUGUUUAGACAGGAAAGCUCAUGUUUUUGUUACAGUUCUUUGAAACUUCACUUUUAACCUAACUCUCUUAGAGCUCUGUCACCUCCGACCCUGAACUUUUCUUCCAGGGUCUCGGUCUCUCAGGCGGGACGCUUACCGCUCCCUAAAUACCUAGGGCCCUGCUCCGGCUCGGGAAACCUGGAGUGGAGGGUGCUUCCUUGAAGCAUAGCCCGUUUGCCUGCCAAGGGCUUAGCUACACAGCUCUAACCUCGCCCACCACCCCUUCCCUCUUCCCUCCCCUUUCUCCCCUCUCUCUUCCCCUCCUCUCCUCUCCUCCCCUUCCCCACCCCCGUCCAACCGUCAUCCUCAAUUAGAUUUUUUGUUUGUUUGUUUUUUCAGAGGGGAGGCAAAACGAUUAGGAAGGGCGUGCACCGGACUGGUUGGGCGGCAGGGAGGUUUUUUUUAAUCUCUUUUAUUUCAGUGACCGAGCCCAGAUCGGGGAGGUAACCUCACUGUUGCUGCUGCGGUGGGCCGUCUCGCCGAAGCUGUUGGGUCCGGGGCUCCGGUGAUGAGGAUGCGAGGUGCCCCUCUCUAAUGCGGGAGGGGGUGCUGGCCGUGUUCUCGGAUCCCUCGGAGCUGUCCAACGGCUGGCCAGGUGCCAAUCCACACAGGAACUGCAGAGAGGAACGCGAACACCAGGCCUGGUGUCCGUGUUCCUUUUGUCCAUGGAGAAAACAGCCUAUUCUGUUGAGAGAAAUAUCAGAAAUUGCUAUCCAAAGGAAAAUAUGGAUGGGAACGACAAUAAGAAGCCUGAGAGUCUAGAAGCUGCUUUGCCUUCUGAGCCUCCAAAGAGAAGGCGGGGAAGACCACCCAAGAAAAAGGAGGCACAGAUUGGCCCCUUACCUGAAAAGAGACCACGAGGCAGACCCAAAGGAAGCAAAACCAUCAAUACCUCUGGAUCUAUGCUCCAGGUCGAAACUUUGGCCAAGAAGAAGCCAAGAGGGAGACCCCGGAAAUGGGAAAAGGCCCCAGUGGAAGAGGCUGCCAUAAAACCAGAGAAAGAGAAGACCUCUGCAGAUCCCGUGGCAUCAUCCUUAUUCCCUCACGCUCCUACUCACCUGAGACCAAGUGACUGCGAAGCCGGAGAGUCUUAAUUUGAUCCACUGGCCACUUGAAUGAAAUAAAGAGACAAGAUCUCUGUGUAUCUUUGUCACAGCAAUUUCCAAGCCCUGGGGCAAGGCCUCAGUUAGACCGGUUCCCACAAUAGCAGUCUUACGGGAAGAAUACAACUCCUUGCCCCAAGAAAGAGUCUUAGUCUGAAUCUUGCUGCCACUUUCUAAAAUACUCUUUUCACUCUCUCCCUCUCCCUUGGCCUGGACCAGACCCUCAGGCUACAACGUGUACUCUGAGAGGGGUUCAUGUGGGGCUAUGUUGUUCUAUAGAGAAGAAGCAGCGUGGCUCAGUGGAAAGAGCCCAGGCUUGCGAGUCAGAGGUCAUGGGUUCAAAUCCUGACUCCGCCACUUGUCAGCUGUGUGACUGUGGGCAAGUCACUUCACUUCUCUGCCUCAGUUACCUCAUCUGUAAAAUGGGGAUUAAGACUGUGAGCCUCCCGUGGGACAACCUGAUUACCCUGUAUUAUCCCAGCACUUAGAACAGUGCUCUGCACAUAGUAAGCGCUUAACAAAUACCAACAUUAUAGGCUUUUUUUUUUUUUUAGGCAAUGGGCUCCUGGCAUGCUGAGCCCCCUAUGGAGCCCUGGAAGAGAAAAAGGGAAAAUGGGAUACGAGAGCAGGAGAAUGGGAGGCAAGUGGUCUGCCAGAAAUCAGAAAGUGUUCAGAGUAUUUCACUUCAGAGAGCUCUGGGUGAUUUAGGAACAACAGAAAAAUCCCUGUGUUCCAUGUCAGAAUGCAGUGUGGCUUCACUGCUGGGGAAGCUGGCUCAGAUGGAGGACAACUCACCUAUUACCUCCUUCCCUGUUCCCAACCCAUUUUAUCUUAGACUGGUGGGCCAUUCUGUUCUCUCUGCUUGGCUAGGUCCUUUAAUCAAGGUCCUGGGACUGGGCUCAACUUCAAACACCCAACCAAGUUUGACCUCUCUGUUUCUCAGCUGAUUCCCAGCAAUUCUCCUGCGGUCAUUUGUCUUCCCAUGAGUGUUGGCUCACUUCAUUUCUUAGGGUCACCGUGAUUUGAUCUGUCUUGUUGCUUAGCUAUCUUGCUUCUAACCAAACAUCUCAAUCCACUUCAUUGGCAGGGUAAUCACCACCCUCACACACAGGUAAAUAAAAGACAAGUGUAGGAGAGGCAUGGGGCAAAGUUGGGGGGCGGGUGGUAGGGUGGCAGUAGAGGAGGGUAUCAGGCUACUGGAUUUCCUGACUAAAGUUUCUCAUAGGCAAUACCUGUCCACAUUCUCUACUCCAACGUUCCAGAUAGCUAAAUGGGCUUGCAGUUUGCUGCCUUUCUCACAGUGGUGCUUGCAGGCUUGACAGUAUUAUUGCUGUGUGUGUGCCCUCCCUCUAGCUGACUGAAUGUAACAAUACAGACAGGAAUCUUUCCGCCUCACCACCCCCCACCCCCUGCCUCCACUGACUUUGGUUCCUUCUCCUAGAGCACUUGAAUCAUCCACAACCAGGACAGUUGAACUCAGACCUGUGGGGAAAUGCCAAGAUGAGAUCGGUUAGUGUAAAAUAGGGACAGACUAAGGGACUGAGGUGAUCUUGUUGAUAAAUAACCCUUCCUACAGAGAUGUGUCCAUGGAAUCGUUAUGGAGUCGCUAUGGGUCGGAGAAAACUCGACAGCAUAAGACAAGACAAGACAGAGCAGGGGGUGGGUCACUGGACCUCACAGAAAGAUCACUUAGACUUGAGAACCCUGAAAGGGUCUCCCAGGUAUCUUAUGGACCAGUUUUGCCUUUAGGUGGGGUAAAGCCUGGAGGUUUCAGGAUGAGAAGAGGAAGGUAGGAACAGAGCAGUCGAGCCAUCGGCUUGAGACUGGCUUGGGCAAGACAAGGUUGGAAAAGCACAGCCUUGAGGCUACUCCUGGAUAGUAGUGCUUCACUGAGCCCUGCUGGUAUGGCCCAAAUUCAAACACUAGCUACAGUCACAUGCAGCCUGAGGUGCUGGAUAGUCAUGACCCCUACACCUGGGCACCAGCAGACACAGCUGGGUAGUAAAACCCAAGGAUCCUAGGUCACACAUCACUGGUCCAACUCCAAGCCCAUGGCCCCCCUCAGGCUGUGUACUCCCAGCUGAGACAGAAGGUCAGUUUUCUCUCUGCUCACUCCCACUCCUGGAAACCCCUUCUCCUCUCCAAACAUUCAUCGUGAAUAUGGCAUUCUUCCACCCUGGAGAAAAAGAGAGUUUGGGAGCUUGUGACCAUUUCCAAAUUUUUCAUAGUCCCUGCAGUUCUCAUUUUCAAAAACCCAGUCCUUCAUUCUCUCCAUUCUGGUAGACGAGGGAGAAAGCUGUGCAGUGCUAUGUUCUCUUGGAUCUUUUAGGGCCCCUCCAACCUCUCAGAACCAGGCCAGCAGUUCUGGGGUAUGAGCUUUUAAGUUCAAAUGCUCAUCUGGGUAACUUCAGGUUACAGGCACUUGUAAGACAAGUCAGAACUCUGUCAGGUUUACUUAGUGUCUGUGCUGUGGACUAGGAAGAGCUGGGUUCUAAUCCUGACUUUGCCAACUAUCUACUGUGAGACCUUGGGCCAGGCACUUAACUUCUCUGGGCCUCAGUUUCCUCAUUUGUAAAGUGGGAACUCAAUACCCAUUUUCUCUCCUCCUUAUCCUGGGAGCCCCAUGUGGGACAAGGGCUGUGUCUGACCCAAUUAUCCUGAAUCUACCCCAGUGCUCAGUAGAGUGCUUGGCCCAUAGUUAGUACUUAGAUACCACGAUUACAUGAAUUUAUGGAGCCACUCAGACUACUUCUCCAGCUUACAUAGUUACUUCUCCUGUGGUGUUGGCAUGGCUGAGAUACCAUAAAACUCCCCCCUCAUGGAACCACUGGACCACUCCUCUUGUCUGUCAUAUGCACCAUGAAUCUUAGGGGAUGAUCAGAGCUUAGCAGAGCUAAGACUUCUGAAUUUAGACAGGGAGAAUAAUAAUAAUAAUGUUGGUAUUUGUUAAGCACUUACUAUGUGCAGGGCACUGUUCUAAGCGCUGGGGUAGAUACAGGGUAAUCAGUUGUCCCACGUGAGGCUCACAGUCUUAAUCCCCAUUUUACAGAAGAGGUAACUGCGGCACCGAGAAGUUAAGUGACUUGCCCAAAGUCACAGAGCUGACAGGUGACAGAGCUGGGUUAGAACCCAUGACCUCUGACUCCUAAGCCCGUGCUCUUUCCACUGAGCCACGCUGCUUCUCUAGGCUGGAGAAGGCUGGAGUGAUGAGGGCCAGUGGGCAGAAUUCCCACUGAAAGUUGAAUGCUAUGGUGAAGUUCGCUUGCAUGAUUGGGAGAUGCAGCUUGCAUUAGACUCCAUAAUGCAGACUUUCCAUUCACGUCCAGAAUCU